GACGAACGCUGGCGGCGUGCCUAAUACAUGCAAGUAGAACGCUGAAGAGAGGAGCUUGCUCUUCUUGGAUGAGUUGCGAACGGGUGAGUAACGCGUAGGUAACCUGCCUUGUAGCGGGGGAUAACUAUUGGAAACGAUAGCUAAUACCGCAUAACAAUGGAUGACACAUGUCAUUUAUUUGAAAGGGGCAAUUGCUCCACUACAAGAUGGACCUGCGUUGUAUUAGCUAGUAGGUGAGGUAAUGGCUCACCUAGGCGACGAUACAUAGCCGACCUGAGGGGGUGAUCGGCCACACUGGGACUGAGACACGGCCCAGACUCCUACGGGAGGCAGCAGUAGGGAAUCUUCGGCAAUGGGGGCAACCCUGACCGAGCAACGCCGCGUGAGUGAAGAAGGUUUUCGGAUCGUAAAGCUCUGUUGUAAGUCAAGAACGGGUGUGAGAGUGGAAAGUUCACACUGUGACGGUAGCUUACCAGAAAGGGACGGCUAACUACGUGCCAGCAGCCGCGGUAAUACGUAGGUCCCGAGCGUUGUCCGGAUUUAUUGGGCGUAAAGCGAGCGCAGGCGGUUUGAUAAGUCUGAAGUUAAAGGCUGUGGCUCAACCAUAGUUCGCUUUGGAAACUGUCAAACUUGAGUGCAGAAGGGGAGAGUGGAAUUCCAUGUGUAGCGGUGAAAUGCGUAGAUAUAUGGAGGAACACCGGUGGCGAAAGCGGCUCUCUGGUCUGUAACUGACGCUGAGGCUCGAAAGCGUGGGGAGCGAACAGGAUUAGAUACCCUGGUAGUCCACGCCGUAAACGAUGAGUGCUAGGUGUUGGAUCCUUUCCGGGAUUCAGUGCCGCAGCUAACGCAUUAAGCACUCCGCCUGGGGAGUACGACCGCAAGGUUGAAACUCAAAGGAAUUGACGGGGGCCCGCACAAGCGGUGGAGCAUGUGGUUUAAUUCGAAGCAACGCGAAGAACCUUACCAGGUCUUGACAUCCCGAUGUUAUUUCUAGAGAUAGAAAGUUACUUCGGUACAUCGGUGACAGGUGGUGCAUGGUUGUCGUCAGCUCGUGUCGUGAGAUGUUGGGUUAAGUCCCGCAACGAGCGCAACCCCUAUUGUUAGUUGCCAUCAUUCAGUUGGGCACUCUAGCGAGACUGCCGGUAAUAAACCGGAGGAAGGUGGGGAUGACGUCAAAUCAUCAUGCCCCUUAUGACCUGGGCUACACACGUGCUACAAUGGUUGGUACAACGAGUUGCGAGUCGGUGACGGCGAGCUAAUCUCUUAAAGCCAAUCUCAGUUCGGAUUGUAGGCUGCAACUCACCUACAUGAAGUCGGAAUCGCUAGUAAUCGCGGAUCAGCACGCCGCGGUGAAUACGUUCCCGGGCCU
Molecule: ribosomal RNA, 1369 nt
Filed under: uncultured bacterium
Lineage: Bacteria
Description: bacterial SSU rRNA
Rfam family: Bacterial small subunit ribosomal RNA
Source: RNAcentral